RNAcentral lists this long non-coding RNA (1969 nucleotides) under Elaeis guineensis (African oil palm). Its description in RNAcentral is "long non-coding RNA (EGUI_LNC036721)". The record is from RNAcentral. Lineage: Eukaryota; Viridiplantae; Streptophyta; Magnoliopsida; Arecales; Arecaceae.
GCCUCUAGACAAUCGGAGUGAUCUAUCACCUCUCAAACUACUGUUGGUGCUGGAGAAAACCACGUACCAGUAUCAAGCAUGGAUCCAACUGAAGUAGCUCAGAUGGCUCCACAAUCCUUCUGCAAAGCCACCGGAGUCUCUCCAUACACACAAAAAAAAAAAUAAAGAGAAAUUUUCCUACGGUCAAACAGGAAGAAGAAGAGAGACAAAAGGAGGGGUAGUGCUAAGCCCCAGAGCAGACCCAUAAGUGGCACAUCCAAGCCACAAAACAAAACAAAACAAAAAAAGAAGAAGAAGAAGAAGAAAAGAAAAGAAAGGAGAGAAGGAAAGAAAGGAAAGAAAGGAAAGGAGGGGGGCUGUCCUUUUCUCUCGCAGGUUAGAGAAGCCACCGAAGGGUGGGACACUGGGCCCCUUUUGCCCAAGGUCGGCACCGCCUCCUUCGUGUCCGGCAUCCAGUGACUCUGGCUCCACCCGAGCGGAUGGCCCACCAACUCCGCCCAAAUUCCGGCUCUGCCUGAGUGGAUGGCCCUGAAGUCUUGAUCUCCGGCUCCAGCCCCGAGCUCUCCCGUGCACCCGGCUCUGAGGUCGCCAUCCUCGCAUCUCGCCUCGCCCAGGUUCGAGCUCUGGAGGUGCUCCCUCGCUUGCGCCUCCCUAGUCGGCUCCGCGCCUCCGAGCUCUCUCGCGCACCCUGCUCUGAGGUCACCAUCCUCGCACCUCGCCUCGCCUAGGUCCGAGCUCUGGAGGUGCUCCCUCGCUCGCGCCUCCCCGAUCGACUCCACGCCUCGAAGAUCUCCCCACUUGUCCUUGUCUCCGACGUCGAUCUUGCCCAGAUCUGGCCUCCAUGGUGCUCUCGACCUCUUUCAAGCUCCCGCUGUUGGCACCAAACUUGUCGGUUCUGAGUUUAUGACCUGCCGAACUCAUCAAACUCCCCCCUCGCCUAGAUCCGGAGCCUGGGAUCGCUCUACUCUCAUCCGAUGCCCCUGACAGCGAUGAGCCUCAUUUGAUCCGUGGGUCUGAGCCCUGAGGCCCUCCCACGUGCAAAUUACACCCGUCGAGGUCACCUGUGGAUGAAUCCGAGACCUCCACACUGGCAAAAGCCCAUCAACUUUGAAGGCCUCCGGUUCUUAAAUAAGAGGUUAAUCUUAUUCUUGAAUGAAGAUGAAGCCCCUGCUCUUAAGUACGGACGUCAACUCCAUGCCGAUCUAUUUUUCAAUAGGUGAAGGCUCCUGUUCUUAACCAUGGGUGUCAACUCUAUAUUGACAUGCUCGUACUCUUAGAUGAAGGCUCGUACUCUUAAGCACGGAUGUCAACUCUAUAUCAACUUGCUCUUCAAUAUGUGAAGUCCCUGUUCUUAAACAUGGGUGUCAGCUUCAUGCAGAAUCUUGUCCUUAAAUGAGGUUGAAGGCUCUUGUUCCUGAACGGGGUUGGCAAAGCCGAGCUCAAUCUGAUUUUAAAUGAAGAUGAAGAAGGCCCUGUUUCUAAACAGGGUGUUAGUCAAUGUCGAGCUUAAUCUCAUCUUAAAAUGAGGUUGAAGUCCCAUUGCUCUUAAGCACAUGGGAAAAUUAAUAAAUUUCUUGUUCUUAUGCAGGAUUCGAGCUCUUUCUACAAGCAAAGAUGCAACUAGACUGCCCUAUGUUCUUAAACAAGGGGGACAGAGCUACUCAAGGUCGGCUAAAAGCAACGUUAAGAACACAGCAGAUCAACCAAGGUAAAUCAUGCAAAUCCAAGGUCCAAGUAUGUAGAUCCAAGGUAAAUCAUGUAAAUCCAAAAUCAAAGCAUGCAGAUCCGAGAUAAAUCAUGCAAAUUCAAAGUUCAAGCAUGCAGAUCCAAAGUAAAUCAUGCAAAUUCAAGGUCCAAGCAUGUUGAUCUGAGGUAAAAUAUACAAAUUCAAGGUCAAAGCAUACAGAUUCUAGGUAAAUCAUAUAAUUCGAGGUAAAUCAUGCGGAUCCGAGAUAAAUCAUGCAAAUCC